Molecule: transfer RNA, 75 nt
Filed under: Candidatus Woesearchaeota archaeon
Lineage: Archaea; Nanobdellati; Candidatus Woesearchaeota
Description: tRNA-Glu
Rfam family: tRNA
About the family: Transfer RNA (tRNA) molecules are approximately 80 nucleotides in length. Their secondary structure includes four short double-helical elements and three loops (D, anti-codon, and T loops).
Source: RNAcentral
GCCCCGAUAGUGUAGACCGGCCAAUCAUUUCGCCCUCUCGAGGCGAAGACCUGGGUUCAAAUCCCAGUCGGGGCG